UACAAGGACGAUAACUAUACACCUAAGUAAGUGAUGACGCUAUAGUAUAUACAAGGACGAUAACUAUACACCUAGGUAAUACCGGCACUAGAUAAACAAAAUAUGUCUACAGAAGAAGCAGGCAAUCCGUACCCCCGUUAUAACAACAAUGAGGUCUAAUAACAACAUAUAAUAGUGUUUGCAUUGAAACAACAUCAGCAACAACAACAACAACAUCAGCAGCGAUACCACACGAUGGAAUGAAUAUAAAAUCACAAGAAUAUACUUGUCUGGAGUGUUGUACUGGAUUAGGUUAUAUCAUCACGAUAUAUCAUAAGUUGAAGCUAUAUAUUUACUUGUCUGUUUACUAAAAUAAUGUAUUCACUGAAUCAGAUAUUAUUUGAAGUCACUGAAAUUUGAGAUACUUACGAGUCUUGUACAAAAUGUUAGAAAUAAAUGACUUUGAAAUAGACUCAUCAAGGCGCGAAGUUGUUCACAAAUUAAAAAACUAUAGAGACAAUUAUAACAGGUUGUUAAUCUGUUAUUUCAGAUGAAAAUUUGUCUAUUUAAAAGUUAUCGCAUUUCUGUAUUAUAUAAUAUAUCAUGAUUUUAAUAAUA
Molecule: long non-coding RNA, 597 nt
Organism: Ruditapes philippinarum (Manila clam)
Lineage: Eukaryota; Metazoa; Mollusca; Bivalvia; Venerida; Veneridae
Exons: 2
Source: RefSeq, a predicted model, not a curated record